AAUUAUUAUUAGAUUUUUAAAUAAUUAUUCACGAAAUAAAUUGAGCUAAAUUUUUGGUAUUUUUGGAAAUUAUAACUAUAUGUUACAAAAUAUAUUAACUAAAUAGAUUUAGGGGUGAAAGGCCUAUCAAAUUUUAUGAUAUCUUGAAGUAUAUAAAAUAUAUCAAGUAUUUCUAAUUCAACUAUUGAAUGUUUAGGUUCAAUAGUAACAUUAUAUUUUUUUAAAAAAUUGUUCAAUUUUUUUAAGUAAAAUUGAGUUAGAGCAUAAAAUAUACAUCAAAUUUUUAUUAUAUGAAUAUAAAUAUACUACGGUUAUUAAUAAAUAUAAUCAUAUAUAAUGUAAUUAUUAGUAAUAGUUUAUUAAACUAUAUAAAGGAAUUCGGCAAGAAAAUUUUUCACCUGUUUAUCAAAAACAUAGCUUAUUGAAUAUCAUAAUAAGUAACCCCUGCUCAAUGGAAAUCUAAAUAGCCGCAGUACCUUGACUGUGCAAAGGUAGCAUAAUCAAUUGGCUUAUAAUUGAAGUCUGGAAUGAAUGGGUAAUCUGGAAAAUAACUGUCUUUAUUUGUAGUAUUUUGAAUUUACUUAUAAAGUGAAAAUACUUUAAUAUAAAUAUAAGACGAGAAGACCCUAGAAAUUUUUUGUUAAUAACUUUUGUUGGGGCGACAGGGUAACAUAUAAACUUACUUACAUUUAUAUAAAUCUUAUAAGGUACGUAACUAAAUUACUCUAGGGAUAACAGCAUAAUAUAUAAAAGUUUAUGACCUCGAUGUUGGACUAGGUAAUUAAAUAUUUAAAAGAUAUCUUAAUUUGCUCUGUUCGAGCAGUACCACCUACAU
This 835-nucleotide ribosomal RNA is filed under the name Perforatella incarnata. RNAcentral describes it as "Monachoides incarnatus partial large subunit ribosomal RNA". Lineage: Eukaryota; Metazoa; Mollusca; Gastropoda; Stylommatophora; Hygromiidae. The record is from RNAcentral.